This 235-nucleotide unclassified non-coding RNA is filed under the name uncultured Chloroflexota bacterium. RNAcentral's name for it is "uncultured Chloroflexi bacterium contains 16S-23S intergenic spacer region". Lineage: Bacteria; Bacillati; Chloroflexota. The record is from RNAcentral.
UCCGAGUUGACCCCGGCUUUCACCGGCUGUCCUGCACAUGUCAAGCCCUGGUAAGGUUCUUCGCGUAGCUUCGAAUUAAACCGCACGCUCCGCUGCUUGUGCGGGCCCCCGUCAAUUCCUUUGAGUUUUAGCCUUGCGGCCGUAGUCCCCAGGCGGAGCACUUAUCGCGUUAGCUGCGCUACCGGAGGGGUCGAUACCCCCGACAGCUAGUGCUCAUCGUUUACGGCCAGGACUA